AGAGUUUGAUCCUGGCUCAGAUUGAACGCUGGCGGCAGGCCUAACACAUGCAAGUCGAGCGGAUGAUGGGAGCUUGCUCCCGGAUUCAGCGGCGGACGGGUGAGUAAUGCCUAGGAAUCUGCCUGGUAGUGGGGGACAACGUUUCGAAAGGAACGCUAAUACCGCAUACGUCCUACGGGAGAAAGCAGGGGACCUUCGGGCCUUGCGCUAUCAGAUGAGCCUAGGUCGGAUUAGCUAGUUGGUGGGGUAAAGGCCUACCAAGGCGACGAUCCGUAACUGGUCUGAGAGGAUGAUCAGUCACACUGGAACUGAGACACGGUCCAGACUCCUACGGGAGGCAGCAGUGGGGAAUAUUGGACAAUGGGCGAAAGCCUGAUCCAGCCAUGCCGCGUGUGUGAAGAAGGUCUUCGGAUUGUAAAGCACUUUAAGUUGGGAGGAAGGGCAGUAAGUUAAUACCUUGCUGUNUUGACGUUACCAAUAGAAUAAGCACCGGCUAACUUCGUGCCAGCAGCCGCGGUAAUACGAAGGGUGCAAGCGUUAAUCGGAAUUACUGGGCGUAAAGCGCGCGUAGGUGGUUUGGUAAGAUGGAUGUGAAAUCCCCGGGCUCCACCUGGGAACUGCAUCCAUAAC
RNAcentral lists this ribosomal RNA (630 nucleotides) under uncultured bacterium. Its description in RNAcentral is "bacterial SSU rRNA". It matches the Rfam family "Bacterial small subunit ribosomal RNA", at positions 8 to 633 of the family's 1533-position model. The record is from RNAcentral.